Molecule: long non-coding RNA, 5006 nt
Filed under: Capra hircus (goat)
Lineage: Eukaryota; Metazoa; Chordata; Mammalia; Artiodactyla; Bovidae
Description: lncRNA (ENSCHIG00010016592.1)
Source: RNAcentral
CUUCCUAAUCCAGUCACCCGACAGAACCAUGCUCACCUGCUGCACUUCCCUCUAGAAUUUCUCUCUGGGCAGAUGAGGUCUUGUUUAGUUUAGUUUUGUGUUUUAAGUUGAAGGUUAAUCCCUUCUAAUGCAGAUGCCAUUUCCAGACCUGUGGCUCCAGCCAUGGCUUGCACGGGGAAAAAAAAAAAAGAGUCACAGCUGCUAUUCAUAGCUGGAUGUUUAAAAUUAAGAGCAAGGAAGCUCGUGCUGGGAGCUGACUCUGGGCUUGAUGCCUUGAGGCAUAUCAGGUAAUUCCUGCCUGGAAGGAGCAUGCGCUCCAACUGAGGUGACAAGUUGCACCCAGGAAAAGGCUGGGUGAGCUCACAGGCAUUGUGUCAUCACAAAUGUCACAGGGUGCUUGGGAGAGNNNNNNNNNNNNNNNNNNNNNNNNNNNNNNNNNNNNNNNNNNNNNNNNNNNNNNNNNNNNNNNNNNNNNNNNNNNNNNNNNNNNNNNNNNNNNNNNNNNCUCACAGGCAUUGUGUCAUCACAAAUGUCACAGGGUGCUUGGGAGAGCCCUGCCUCCAGCGAGGCACAGAGAUUGGUGGGCUCUUCAGGAAUCCAGGGUAGCGAAGACCCAGUGGGGUGGUCAGAGAAGCCUUCCUGGAAGAGGUGGGGUGGUGGCUGGGCUUUAAAGUCUUUGCAGAUGGAUGUUUGGGGAAGGGUUAUGUUUCAGACUAGGGAAAUAGCCCGGGGAGAGGAUUGGAGGUGGUAGAGCUCCAGGGCUUCCCUGAUAGCUCAGCUGAUAAAGAAUCCACCUGCAAUGCGGGAAACCUGGCUUUGAUUCCUGGGUCGGGAAGAUUUCCUGAAGAAGGGAAAGGCUGCCCAGUAUUCUAGCCUGGAGAAGUCCAUGGACAUUCCAUGGGGUCGAAAAGAGUCAGACACGCCUAAGCGACUUUCACUUUCACUUUCAGAGCUCCAGUAUGUCUGGAGGCCUGGACAUGGCUCAGCAUGGCAGGGGCAAAGGCUGGAGUCAGAGGCAAAGGGUUCCGUCUGCUGCGGAAAGACCAGGGAACCAUGGAGGUGCCUGAUGAAGAUGCUGCCGUGGAGGCUGCUGAGUCAGGGGAAGGAGGGAUGGAGAAAGGGCAUGCUUUCAGAAACAGUGAAGAGGCCGCAGGAGAAGGGGAGAUUCUGCCAAAGAGCAGGCCUUGCCUUGCUAUCCCUUGACCUGAUCUCCCUUCUGCCCAGAGCCAGGGCUGAUGGUGGGCCAGGGUGACUGGCAGCUAUAAUGACAGCCUGGAGAGUAGUCCUGUACAAGACACCUAUACAAGAGGAACACUCAGCACACAGACCAGCUUCCUAGGUUCAAAUCCCAGGUCUGUCCCAUUACGAGUUUCCCCGGUGGCUCAGAUGGUGAAGAAUCUGCCUGCAGUGCAGNNNNCCUGGGGCGGGGGGGGAGAUCCUCUGGAGAAGGGAAUGGCCACCCACUGCAGUAUUCUUGCCUGGAGAAUCCCCAUGGACAGUGGAGCCUGGCGGGCUGCAGUCCAGGGGAUCACGAAGAGUCAGAUACGACUGAGCACAGCCGAUGCAUACAUCCCAUGAAAGCCCACCAGCCACGACCACCAAGAACACACCUGGAGAAAAACAAAGUCAGGCAUGCUAGCCUGCUGCAGCAAGGCAGAGCACGCACCCUGGGAAAGCGUGGGGCACCUCCAAAGGGGCUUUAGAGAAGGGGCGCUUGUGGAGUCUGGGGGCUGGAGUUAAUCAUAGCCCAGUCUUGGUCAGGGUUGCUCAGCUACUGCUUCGCUGGAACAGUCAGAAGUCAUAUCUUUAGAACACACAAGCCUAUUUGGAAUUGCUGUCAGAUCAGUGUGUCUGUGGUCUUAUCUUGGAACAUAUGGGUGUGAGUGAGCUGGUGUCAAAAGAAUCUGAGCUUAGAUAGUCUGUGCUACGCCAUUUAUCUGUUUUGUGAGUCACUGCACAGGCCUUUUUGUAAGUUGUGGCUUCUGUUUCAAAUCUCAGUUCGCUUUGUAAGGCCUGGACGCCCUCAGGGCCAUUUCCUAUCUCAGGCUGGUCUGUGGGCAGGUUACAUUGCCCUUCCUGCGGCUGGUUUCUUCACUGAGCAAGUGGGGACAGUAGGAGCACAGACACCAUGGGGUCCUGGGGAUUACAGUUAGUAUAUGUGAUGCAUCUAACAGUGCCUGGCACACAGUAGGUCCAGUGUAAAUGUGAGCCAUCCUUAUAACCACAAGCCUUUAAGACUGAGAUGUGUGGAUGGCUCCACUGCCUCCAAAGAAAAGAUAGCCCUUAAGUUUAUUUUCUACUUACCGAGGGGAAAGGGCACACUGAUAUGAGUUACUCUGACCAAACAGGAUGGUGUCCUAGGGAGCAGGCUCCACCACCUAGAAUAAAGCCGUCGUCUUUGACUGGUGUCAUCUUCUAAGAAGGUGGGAAGGCAGGGGAUCAGAGGAUGCUUUGAGACUUGGGGCACAUCUUCAGGGAAAGAUGGUGACACCUUCUUCCUUGAUUUAGUCAAGGGCAGAGCAGGAAGGAAGGGACUAAAGCUUGGGCACUACAAGUGUGGAUUUCAUAAAGACUAGGCUGACUCUGGCUUGUUAAGUAUCGGAGUGGGGAGGCUGAGAGGCUGUGGACUCCCGGCCACAUCUGAGUCUGAAGGAAAUUGUGGUGCAGUGGUGGGACCUCUGCCCUGGGCGUCAGGUCGCCUGGGUCCCAGCUCAGAACUGCUUCUAAUAGACCGGCAUUCCUGCUUAGUCGCUCAGUUGUGUCCAGCUCUUUGUAUAGAGCUAUAGCCCACCAGGCUCCUCUGUCUGCGAGAUUUUUCAGCUGAGAAUACAGGAGUGGAUGGCCAUUUCCUCCUCCAGGGGAUCUUCCCAAUCCAGGGAUCAAAUCUUUGUCUCCUGUGUCUCCACCAUUGUGGCUAGAUUCUUUACCUGCUGAGCCAUCAGGGAAGCUCUAACUGAGAGAUGGCUUUCUAGGACUCAUUUCUCAUCCCCUGUGUCUUAACCUCCCUACUUGUAAAUGAAGAAUUUAUUGGAGUUGUACGCAUUUACAUAUAGGAUGCCAGGUGGAGUUGGCUGUUGACAAGGGUUGUGUAUUUGUGAUUUUCACUGCCAUUGCCAAACCUCUCCAUUGAGGUUGCACCAAGUUGGACUGCCAAGUUGUGAUGUGGUGAGGGGGUGGUGGGUGGGAGGUCCUUGGUGACCCCACCGAUACAUCUUCCGCCUCUAAAGUUGCGUGCUAGCAGGGUCCCACUCUGCUUCGGCUCCAUUUCUUAAGGCACUAAAUGCUUCGCCGGGUUGGGCUUCACGCUCCUCCCCUUGCACUGUGCUUUUCUGCUCUUCAGCUGGUCCCAGAGGGAGAGAGAGAGAGAAUGAGAACGCAUGAAUGAGAAAGUUCUAGAGGCUCAGUGUCUCAUCUGUGAAAUGCCAGCAAUCGUCAUCCUUCCACCUUCUGCACCCACACGCUUGGCUCCCCACAGUCAGCGUGGAGAAAGAGGAGCCGGCCAGCCAGCUGUGUGAGUUAUGGUGAAGGUCAGAGCUCCCUGGGUCCUGAGACUGGACCCCUUAGGUCCAGUGUUCUGUCUUCAGGAUCAGGAUCAUUACUCAUUAGCUUCACAAGACUCCUGAUUCUUGGUGGAAUUUUACCCCAGGGAGGUGCUUAGGGCCUCAAUCUUGCUUGUGACCUGGAGCCCUGCCCAGAAACACUCAGAGCUGUCACCAAUAACUGUCCAUAAUAAUGGGCUUAGCUUUAGGGAGGGCCUUUCUGACAGAUAGACAAGUUCAAGCCAUCACAGAGGAAGUGAAACAGACCCAGAGAGUGGAACCGCCGCUGUCCCCCCAUUUUCAUCACUGACGUGGCACAUGGUGAAUUAGCUUUCUGAAUCCUUUCCUCAACUGUCCAGGCCACUAAAAGUGGUCAGCAAGCAAUCGCCUGAUUUUCUACAUAUGCCUUUGUAAUGUUCGCAGGACACCCCCCCCCACACACACACGCACAUACAUACACUCAUUAAUUAAGCAUCUCUUGGGCACCAGUGUGUGCCCGGUGCAGAUGAUCAAGACCCCGCCUCCACCCUGGGGAAGUUGCUGAGACAGGCUCCCUGUGACAAAGCAUGGGGCGGAAUUGACGUGUCAGAGGCAAGGCAUGCAACACAUGCCUGAUGGCUCCAGGCUCUCUCCUCUGCUCCUCAGGGGCAGCUCUCUUAGUUUGCAUUCCCCUAACAUCCAGUUAUUUCCAGAGUUGAAGGAAGGGAGAGAACCGGAGUAGAAAGGAGAGGACUGCUCCCGGAGAAGGUGGGUGAGGGCUUGCAGGAGACAGCUGCAGCUCUAGCCUUUGCUGCGUUCACAGGGUCACCGGAGGUGUCUUUGGGUUGGGCAAAUUUGCUGAAAGAUGCAGUGACUUUGGCUGGAGAAAGGAAAAAGACACGUUUCCUGGAGGCCCCUGGUUUAGCCUUUGCUGAUGAGGUGAUGCCACAUGGCCACGAUUAAUAGGAAACGUGGGUCAGAUGAUGGUUUUUCACCUUUGCACCAAGAGGGGCUGCAUGGAGUCACUUGCCUUUUCCUGUCAAAUCCCCUUUACCACUGCUCCAUUCAACACACCCACUGUGUGCGAGCCGUGANNNNNNNNNNNNNNNNNNNNNNNNNNNNNNNNNNNNNNNNNNNNNNNNNNNNNNNNNNNNNNNNNNNNNNNNNNNNNNNNNNNNNNNNNNNNNNNNNNNCUCCAUUCAACACACCCACUGUGUGCGAGCCGUGAACUACACUGUGGAAGUCUUGCCUCAUGGAGUUGACACCCUAUGUGUGUCUUCAGCUGUGGUCCAGUACCCAUCCCAGGGAGGGUCACUUGGAUCUUUAAAAAGAAUUCCCAAGGGGUGAAGCUCUCCUGCUGGAAUCUCAGGCAUGAGUCAGAUAUUUAAGAUGGUUUACCCGACGUGAACAAAAUUGGAGGGUGUUUGAAGAAACCAGAUUCAACCAAGUAGCUGGAUGUGUCCUAAUGAUGAUCCUGGGCUGGACCAU